AGGAAGAAGAUCUGACGGUACUUGAGGAAUAAGCCACGGCUAAUUCCGUGCCAGCAGCCGCGGUAAUACGGGAGAGGCAAGCGUUAUCCGGAAUCAUUGGGCGUAAAGCGUCCGCAGGCGGCCUUGCAAGUCUGUCGUUAAAGCGUGGAGCUUAACUCCAUUUAAGCGAUGGAAACUACAAGGCUAGAGUGUGGUAGGGGCAGAGGGAAUUCCCGGUGUAGCGGUGAAAUGCGUAGAUAUCGGGAAGAACACCAG
RNAcentral lists this ribosomal RNA (255 nucleotides) under uncultured Cyanobium sp. Its description in RNAcentral is "partial 16S ribosomal RNA". It matches the Rfam family "Bacterial small subunit ribosomal RNA", at positions 442 to 712 of the family's 1533-position model. Lineage: Bacteria; Bacillati; Cyanobacteriota; Cyanophyceae; Synechococcales; Prochlorococcaceae. The record is from RNAcentral.